AGAACGAACGCUGGCGGCAUGCCUAACACAUGCAAGUCGAACGAGACCUUCGGGUCUAGUGGCGCACGGGUGCGUAACGCGUGGGAAUCUGCCCCUCGGUUCGGAAUAACAGUUAGAAAUGACUGCUAAUACCGGAUGAUGACGAAAGUCCAAAGAUUUAUCGCCGAGGGAUGAGCCCGCGUAGGAUUAGCUAGUUGGUGAGGUAAAGGCUCACCAAGGCGACGAUCCUUAGCUGGUCUGAGAGGAUGAUCAGCCACACUGGGACUGAGACACGGCCCAGACUCCUACGGGAGGCAGCAGUGGGGAAUAUUGGACAAUGGGCGAAAGCCUGAUCCAGCAAUGCCGCGUGAGUGAUGAAGGCCUUAGGGUCGUAAGCUCUUUACCCGGGAUGAUAAUGACAGUACCGGGAGAAUAAGCUCCGGCUAACUCCGCGCCAGCAGCCGC
Molecule: ribosomal RNA, 444 nt
Filed under: uncultured bacterium
Lineage: Bacteria
Description: SSU rRNA
Rfam family: Bacterial small subunit ribosomal RNA
Source: RNAcentral